UGUUUGUCCACAUCGUCUCCGGCGCCUCAUUUUUCCAUCUGAACCAGACGGCCGCAUGAAAGGCAAUCGCUCUGCGGCCCGGCGCGCUGUGUUUUCAGUGCUUCUGAGUGUGGUGGUGACCGGUACAGGCGACUUGAGUGGGAACUGCGGAGAAGAGGGUGGAAGACGAGUGGAUGGUGUCAGAAGUGAGAGGAAGAAGAGAAGUAAUGAUGAGAAAAGCUGAAAGGCACUCAAGGUCUCCUUCAGACGUCCAACACUGUGAAUACAAAGCAGGUGAAGUGGAAAAAAGGUCUUGAGGUUUUAAAAUUAAAUUUCCACGCCUCCUCGUCUUUUUUUGUCAUUUAAAGGUUUU
Long non-coding RNA from Acanthopagrus latus (yellowfin seabream), 352 nucleotides. RefSeq lists it as uncharacterized. The record is from RefSeq and is a predicted model, not a curated record. NCBI's taxonomy places the organism in Eukaryota, Metazoa, Chordata, Actinopteri, Spariformes, Sparidae. The transcript is spliced from 3 exons.